CGGUAAGGCCCUUCGGGGUACACGAGCGGCGAACGGGUGAGUAACACGUGGGUGAUCUGCCUUGCACUUCGGGAUAAGCCUGGGAAACUGGGUCUAAUACCGGAUAUGACCUCGGAAUGCAUGUUCUGGGGUGGAAAGAUUUAUCGGUGCGAGAUGGGCCCGCGGCCUAUCAGCUUGUUGGUGAGGUAACGGCUCACCAAGGCGACGACGGGUAGCCGACCUGAGAGGGUGACCGGCCACACUGGGACUGAGACACGGCCCAGACUCCUACGGGAGGCAGCAGUGGGGAAUAUUGCACAAUGGGCGCAAGCCUGAUGCAGCGACGCCGCGUGCGGGAUGACGGCCUUCGGGUUGUAAACCGCUUUUGACAGGGACGAAGCGCAAGUGACUGUACCUGUAGAACAAGGACCAGCCAACUACGUGCCAGCAGCCGCGGUAAUACGUAGAGUCCGGGCGUUGUCCGGAAUUACUGGGCGUAAAGAGCUUGUAGGCGGUUCGUCGCGUCGUUUGUGAAGACUUGGGGCUCAACCUUAAGCUUGCAGGCGAUACGGGCGGACUAGAGUACUUCAGGGGAGACUGGAAUUCCUGGUGUAGCGGUGAAAUGCGCAGAUAUCACGAGGAACACCGGUGGCGAAGGCGGGUCUCUGGGAAGUAACUGACGCUGAGAAGCGAAAGCAUGGGUAGCAAACAGGGUUAGAUACCCUGGUAGUCCAUGCCGUAAACGGUGGGUACUAGGUGUGGGGCUCCUUCCACGGACUCCGUGCCGUAGCUAACGCAUUAAGUACCCCGCCUGGGGAGUACGGCCGCAAGGCUAAAACUCACAUGAAUUGACGGGG
RNAcentral lists this ribosomal RNA (836 nucleotides) under uncultured Actinomycetes bacterium. Its description in RNAcentral is "bacterial SSU rRNA". It matches the Rfam family "Bacterial small subunit ribosomal RNA", at positions 67 to 918 of the family's 1533-position model. The record is from RNAcentral. Lineage: Bacteria; Bacillati; Actinomycetota; Actinomycetes.